This 253-nucleotide ribosomal RNA is filed under the name uncultured bacterium. RNAcentral describes it as "partial 16S ribosomal RNA". It matches the Rfam family "Bacterial small subunit ribosomal RNA", at positions 524 to 776 of the family's 1533-position model. The record is from RNAcentral.
UACGUAGGUGGCAGGCGUUGUCCGGAUUUACUGGGCGUAAAGAGCGCGCAGGCGGUCGUUCAAGUCGCGUGUGAAAGCCCCCGGCUCAACUGGGGAGGGUCACGCGAUACUGAUCGACUCGAAGGCAGGAGAGGGUAGUGGAAUUCCCGGUGUAGUGGUGAAAUGCGUAGAUAUCGGGAGGAACACCAGUGGCGAAGGCGACUACCUGGCCUGUUCUUGACGCUGAGGCGCGAAAGCUAGGGGAGCAAACGGG